RNAcentral lists this ribosomal RNA (253 nucleotides) under uncultured bacterium. Its description in RNAcentral is "partial 16S ribosomal RNA". It matches the Rfam family "Bacterial small subunit ribosomal RNA", at positions 524 to 776 of the family's 1533-position model. The record is from RNAcentral.
GACGAACCGUGCGAACGUUGUUCGGAAUCACUGGGCUUAAAGGGCGCGUAGGCGGGUCAUCAAGUCAGGGGUGAAAUACUCCGGCCUAACCGGAGAACGGCUUCUGAUACUGGUGAGCUCGAGGGGUGUAGGGGCAUGCGGAACUUCCGGUGGAGCGGUGAAAUGCGUAGAUAUCGGAAGGAACGCCGGUGGCGAAAGCGGCGUGCUGGACACCUUCUGACGCUGAGGCGCGAAAGCCAGGGGAGCAAACGGG